CCUACGGGAGGCUGCAGUGGGGAAUAUUGGACAAUGGGGGGAACCCUGAUCCAGCCAUGCCGCGUGUGUGAAGAAGACCCUCGGGUUGUAAAGCACUUUCAGUGAGGAAGAACGCCUGGUGGUUAAUACCCAUCAGGAAAGACAUCACUCACAGAAGAAGCACCGGCUAACUCCGUGCCAGCAGCCGCGGUAAUACGGAGGGUGCGAGCGUUAAUCGGAAUUACUGGGCGUAAAGCGCGCGUAGGUGGCUUGAUAAGCCGGUUGUGAAAGCCCCGGGCUCAACCUGGGAACGGCAUCCGGAACUGUCAAGCUAGAGUGCAGGAGAGGAAGGUAGAAUUCCCGGUGUAGCGGUGAAAUGCGUAGAGAUCGGGAGGAAUACCAGUGGCGAAGGCGGCCUUCUGGACUGACACUGACACUGAGGUGCGAAAGCGUGGGUAGCAAACAGGAUUAGAUACCCUAGUAGUC
This 465-nucleotide ribosomal RNA is filed under the name Vreelandella stevensii. RNAcentral describes it as "partial 16S ribosomal RNA". It matches the Rfam family "Bacterial small subunit ribosomal RNA", at positions 338 to 795 of the family's 1533-position model. Lineage: Bacteria; Pseudomonadati; Pseudomonadota; Gammaproteobacteria; Oceanospirillales; Halomonadaceae. The record is from RNAcentral.